UACGAAGGGGGCUAGCGUUGCUCGGAAUCACUGGGCGUAAAGCGCACGUAGGCGGCUUUCUAAGUCAGGGGUGAAAUCCUGGAGCUCAACUCCAGAACUGCCUUUGAUACUGGAGAGCUUGAGUCCGGAAGAGGUGAGUGGAACUCCGAGUGUAGAGGUGAAAUUCGUAGAUAUUCGGAAGAACACCAGUGGCGAAGGCGGCUCACUGGUCCGGUACUGACGCUGAUGUGCGAAAGCUAGGGGAGCAAACGGGG
This 254-nucleotide ribosomal RNA is filed under the name uncultured bacterium. RNAcentral's name for it is "partial 16S ribosomal RNA". It matches the Rfam family "Bacterial small subunit ribosomal RNA", at positions 524 to 777 of the family's 1533-position model. The record is from RNAcentral.